AUUUAUUAAUUUAAUUAAUUUAAUUAAUUUUAUAAAUUAUUUCGAAAACAAUUUCAUUAAUUAU
RNAcentral lists this transfer RNA (64 nucleotides) under Orseolia oryzae (Asian rice gall midge). RNAcentral's name for it is "tRNA-Asn". Lineage: Eukaryota; Metazoa; Arthropoda; Insecta; Diptera; Cecidomyiidae. The record is from RNAcentral.